RNAcentral lists this ribosomal RNA (480 nucleotides) under uncultured bacterium. Its description in RNAcentral is "partial 16S ribosomal RNA". It matches the Rfam family "Bacterial small subunit ribosomal RNA", at positions 28 to 523 of the family's 1533-position model. The record is from RNAcentral.
GACGAACGCUGGCGGCGUGCUUAACACAUGCAAGUCGAACGAUGAAGUUCCUUCGGGAAUGGAUUAGUGGCGAACGGGUGAGGAACACGUGAGAAACCUGCCCAUCAUUCUGGGAUAACACCGGGAAACCGGUGCUAAUACCGGAUACUCCAUCGCGGCGGCAUCGCUGCGCUGGGACAGAAUUUCGAUGAUGGAUGGUCUCGCGGCCUAUCAGCUUGUUGGUGAGGUAAUGGCUCACCAAGGCGACGACGGGUAGCCGGCCUGGGAGUGCGAACGGCCACACUGGGACUGAGACACGGCCCAGAAUCCUACGGGAGGCGGCAGUGGGGAAUAUUGGGCAAUGGACGCAAGUCUGACCCAGCGACGCCGCGUGAGGGAUGAAGGCCUUCGGGUUGUAAACCUCUUUCAGUGGGGAAGAAGCGAAAGUGACGGUACCCAAAGAAGAAGCACCGGCUAACUAUGUGCCAGCCGCCGCCGUAA